GGACGAACGCUGGCGGCGUGCUUAACACAUGCAAGUCGAGCGGUAAGGCCCUUUCGGGGGUACACGAGCGGCGAACGGGUGAGUAACACGUGGGUGACCUGCCCUCAGCUCUGGGAUAAGCCUGGGAAACCGGGUCUAAUACCGGAUAUGACUCCAUGACGCAUGUUGUGGGGUGGAAAGCCUUGUGCGGCUGAGGAUGGGCCCGCGGCCUAUCAGCUUGUUGGUGGGGUGAUGGCCUACCAAGGCGACGACGGGUAGCCGGCCUGAGAGGGCGACCGGCCACACUGGGACUGAGACACGGCCCAGACUCCUACGGGAGGCAGGCAGUGGGGGAAUCUUGCGCAAUGGGCGAAAGCCUGAC
RNAcentral lists this ribosomal RNA (361 nucleotides) under uncultured bacterium. Its description in RNAcentral is "bacterial SSU rRNA". It matches the Rfam family "Bacterial small subunit ribosomal RNA", at positions 27 to 387 of the family's 1533-position model. The record is from RNAcentral.